This is a non-coding RNA of Odocoileus virginianus texanus, 1105 nucleotides long. Lineage: Eukaryota; Metazoa; Chordata; Mammalia; Artiodactyla; Cervidae. The record is from RefSeq and is a predicted model, not a curated record.
CGAACAUCAGGGCCCUCCAGACCCAGGCGCCCCAACAGUAUCCUUUUCACCUUCCUGCCAGCCCUUCGGCUCGCUUCGCCGUGGACCGGGGUUAGGGGUGUCGGGGACUGUGGCCCCUCCGGGGACUCUCCUGCCCGCAACCACUGCCCAGCCAGGGGCAGGGACGCUUCUCCUCCAGCCCACGCACCCGACCUGGCGCCGGAGCUUUUGGGGGUGCCCUGGCAGCAGCUCUGCGGGGGAUGGGGAACUCCCCCCUCCCCCGGACCCUCUGCACUACUGUGCAGACUAGCUCUAUCGGCCUUGCUUCUGCAGCCCUUCCCUUUUGGAGCCGGGGCGGGGUGGGAGACACCGUUUCCCCCUUCUCGUGUCUCCUCCCCUCGAAACCCGACCCCCCCCCCCCCCUUUUAUUAGGCCGAAUUUGCUGGUGCCUGUGACCAGCCCCGCAGGGAAGGCUUUUUCUCUGAUUGUUGUAAGGACGACACCCUCCUCCUGAUCUCCCUUCAGCUCCCGCUGCAGCGGGGCAUGGUGGGCUUCCUUGAUUAUCGUGGUUAAUACAUAAUAAACUUUAUUGGUAAAUUUCCCGUGUGAAACUAAACUCAGCUCGUUCCAAAGCGAUUGGGAGAGUUGUGAUGUGGUUUGUGGUGGAACGCGAUCUAAGGAGGAAAUGUUACGCCGGACGCUUCCCUGUCUUUGACCUUUUUUAAAGGAAGAGGAAGUUAACUGACAUUACCCAUCACCCCCAAAAGUCUCACUUCUUGGAAGACUGGUGUUAAAUGCUGAAUAUUUUUAAAGGGCUUGAAUUUACUCUUCCUAGGCCUGAUAUCUGGAGGGUACCGUGGUUCCUGGCUGAAAAGUCUAGUGUUGAAUAUGUCUAAUCUCAUGUUAUUUGCUCGACUGUAGAGUUUUUGCACAGCUUUGAUUGAAAAGACUUGGUGACGAGGUAUUUUAGUUAAAAACCAGCGGGUGAAGGUAAAACGUUGAGUUCAUGAAUUCCACGGAGAAUUAGAAAGGCAUUAUUACCUACCUGAGAGUAACAUUUCAUUAUACACCCCUCCCCCCAAUCCGUUGUAUUUAUGUAAAUCAAUAAAUAAUUAUUGGAUGUUUA